This is a long non-coding RNA of Gallus gallus (chicken), 1895 nucleotides long. RefSeq lists it as uncharacterized. The transcript has 3 exons. The record is from RefSeq and is a predicted model, not a curated record. Lineage: Eukaryota; Metazoa; Chordata; Aves; Galliformes; Phasianidae.
UAUGGAGUGAUGCUGUGGGGCAGUGCUGUUGGGUAGUGUUAUUGGAAUUUGUUGUUGGGUGACACUAUGGGGCAGCAGUAUGGGACAGGGAUAGUGCUAUGCGGUGAUGCUAUGGGGCGCUGUUAUGAGGUGAUGCUAUGGGACAGCACUAUAGGGCAGCGCCAUGGAAUGAUGCUGUUAUAAGGAGGUUGCUGCAGUAUCACACCACCACAGAUCUAGCAUCUCCCAUUCUGAAGAGGUGAGAGAAAGUGGGGAAAACUGAGAGAGGGGGAAGAAAAACCUUCCUGUUCACCUAGGACAUUGAUAUAUGCUGAUGACAGGGAGUUACCUUCCAAGGUAUGUGGAUUUCAGAAUGGCAGCAUUUUAUAUUACACAAUCCUGAGAUUCCAAAAAGUCCUCAUGGGAUGUGGCUGAGGCAAAACUAAAGAUUUCUGUAGUAACUCCAUUAAACUAAGUAUACUAGAAACUUAAUAAAUCAUGUGGACUGCACUUUGGAUCAACAAUCUCUAACGUAUCUCAGGGGCGAGGGAUCUCAACUAGCAAGUCCAAAACCUAUCAGUAAGCUCAGUUUUAUAUUAUUACAUUACAUAUCAGCUGAGAGAACUCUUCCUGUUUUUUUAAUAAUCUAACAAAGCAUUUUUGUGUCUCUCAGCAUUUAACAUUCAAUUUGUUAAAUGUCACUGAAGAAAAAUAAAAUGAAAAAGACAACAGUUAAUAACAUACUCUUUAAUAUUUUAUCAUCCCAUGACUCUCUGUUUCGCCAUGUUGACCUAAUUUACCAUGACAGGAACAUGGUCCUUGUUUCAGAAUACUCCAAGUAUAGAAAUAACUAAACCUUAGUGAGAACUGUAUGGUACCUUGGCAAACAGAGUCUGUUUUAUUGACAUUAUUUUAACUGCUAAUAGUAAGGAAAUAUCAUUAAAAAGACUUAAAUAUACUAUGUGGAAUAUAAUUUAUUUAGGUAUAUAAAAUUUUAAUUGCUACAGAUAGGGACUGAUUCUUCCUCAUACAGCAGCCUGUCAAUAUUUUCACAUUACAUCUUGUUACAGUUCAGUUAGUAUUUUUUUAGAUCAGGCAAACUUCUGUAAAUCUAAAUUUUGUUAGGACUGUCUUGACACUCUGAAUCACAGGAUGGCUUGGGUUGUAAUGGACCUGAAGGAUCAUCAAGCUCCAACCCCCCUGCUGCAUGCAGGGCUGCCAACCUCCAUAUCUAAUACUAGACCAGGCUGCCCAGGGCCCCAUCCAACCCGGCCUUAAAUGAAACUCACAGCAUAAAUUCUUCAACUGGAAUUGAACUAAAACUAAAACAGCUAAAAAAUUGGGCCUAAAAACGAAACAGUGGCAAUGAUCUGAGGAGAAACAAACUAAUUUACUAAAUAAGAUAUCAGAAUGCAAGAAAACACUCUAUAAUACAAUAUAAUACAAUAUAAUUGGAAUUGAAGCUAAUAAAUCAAAUAAAAUGAGAGAGAGUGUCUGAAAACCGAAGGCCUUACUCUAAUGUUGAGGCGAGACAAUCUGGGGAGCUCACAUGCUGCUGAGAAUCAAAAGGGAAGGGAAAAUGACCUAUGAAGGCCUUUUAUCUUCUUCCCCGACCAGAAAUGACAACAGAACAGCGCACAGUUCACUGAGAAAUGUAGUUCUCUUCUAUUCUGGGGCUGGUACCUGGAACUGGAGCAUUAAGUCUUUAACUCCCAGUACACUACAUGAUGUUAUGAUGUGGAAUACCAGUAACCAAAAAUCAUAAAACCAUGACAAUAAGAAUUCAGAAAACUGGAGGAAAAUGAUGAGUGAAGUAGUGGGUAUUUGAGUUAGAUGGUAUGUCUGGAACACUGCUUGUAUCAGAAAUAGUGCUGCCAACAGGAGCAGGGAGGUGAUCAUCCCUCUGCACUCAGCCA